This 478-nucleotide ribosomal RNA is filed under the name uncultured bacterium. Its description in RNAcentral is "partial 16S ribosomal RNA". It matches the Rfam family "Bacterial small subunit ribosomal RNA", at positions 28 to 523 of the family's 1533-position model. The record is from RNAcentral.
GACGAACGCUGGCGGCGUGCUUAACACAUGCAAGUCGAACGGUAAGGCCCUUCGGGGUACAUGAGUGGCGAACGGGUGAGUAACACGUGGGUGAUCUACCCUGCACUUCGGGAUAAGCCUGGGAAACUGGGUCUAAUACCGGAUAGGACUCCGGACUGCAUGGUCUGGGGUGGAAAGCUUUUGCGGUGUGGGAUGGGCCCGCGGCCUAUCAGCUUGUUGGUGGGGUGAUGGCCUACCAAGGCGACGACGGGUAGCCGGCCUGAGAGGGUGACCGGCCACACUGGGACUGAGAUACGGCCCAGACUCCUACGGGAGGCAGCAGUGGGGAAUAUUGCACAAUGGGCGCAAGCCUGAUGCAGCGACGCCGCGUGAGGGAUGACGGCCUUCGGGUUGUAAACCUCUUUCAGCAUCGACGAAGCGAAAGUGACGGUAGGUGCAGAAGAAGGACCGGCCAACUACGUGCCAGCCGCCGCGGUAA